This is a long non-coding RNA of Betta splendens (Siamese fighting fish), 2075 nucleotides long. RefSeq lists it as uncharacterized. Lineage: Eukaryota; Metazoa; Chordata; Actinopteri; Anabantiformes; Osphronemidae. The transcript is spliced from 5 exons. The record is from RefSeq and is a predicted model, not a curated record.
UAACAGUUUGAGUAUCGCCGCCUACUGUACAGGAGGACGUAACAUCAUUCGUCUAAUAACCAGACCACCAAGUGAGAAGGACCUUUGUGUGGUUCAGAAGACUCUUCGCCUGAACCAACUGAUGUCCUGUCACAUCAGAUCUUCGUUGCCCAUCAAUAGAGAGCUGUGCUGCAACAUGCAGAACAUGGGUCUGGAUGAGAAGUUUCCCAGCCACACCCCAAUUCUCCUGGAAUUCAAGGAAUAUCUUGUGAAGCAGCGUGGGACCCAGACGUGAUGCCAAGAGGUGGAUGAUGUCUCCAGGAUGCUGAGGUACAUGCAGCCCACCCGGGAUGACGUCAGCGUGGACUUUCUCAGGCAAAGCACCAAAACCAGAGACCACAUGGUGACCUUACAGAGGGUCAAACUGCUUCCCCCCACCUUCCUCAACUACAUUAAGAGUAGAUCAGAUUUGUUUGGUUUCUCACGCGGAGCAAUCUGGACCAGCAGCUACGAACAUCCUCCUGAGGCUAUCCUAAGAAGCUAACACGCCAUCCAGCUUGACAGAUUACAGGCUGGGUUUGCUGAAGGCACUCGCUUCUAUGACAAGUGGAGGGCAGUACCGUCUAGUACCGGGAGGAGAACCUGCUGUAUAAGCUGAUAUUAAAGACCUAAUGACAGCGACAGAUUCAUGGAGACAGACAUUUAAACUGACAUCCGUAUUAAUCGACAGCAAAAACAGACCAUCCUCCAAAUGUAGCCAUGGUAACAGAGAUGAUUGACAGGGAGGCCUGGAAUGCCAAUCACCCGCAUCCAGAGGACAUCGUCGCAAAGUGGAGUCCAGCUAAAAGCAUUGAGACGGAUGAGUCUGGUGUGGCUGUUCAGGAGUACGGGGACGAUGGAGGACAAGAUCCUUUACAAAGAGAUCAGUCAUCUGUAAUUAUCCUGGUGAGCUGAUCACUGCAGAUGGGGGCCUACGACAGCAGGCAUCUGUGCAUCAAUGUAAGGGUGCGACCCCUCGUUGGAGACAGCGGGCAGAAAAAUGAACCACACCAGGAAGAAUAACAACGUUAGGUUGCUCCCCAUCAGAAGGAAGUUUAAUGAAGGAGAAAAGGACUCUUUCCUUCUGGUGGCAGCAAGACACAUCGACGUCGAUGUCAGGCAUCGAGACCUAGUGGUCAAUGGAAAGACUCCAUUUGGUCCCGUGUCCUAAUUGUGAAGGAUUUAUAUUGUAUUUCUUUUAAAUCUCAUUUUAAAAGUGUUUCUUUUUAUUUAAACACGACAGAGCUCAUUCAUUUGCUCCUUCAUAUCUGAAUUAUCCAACAUCAUCUCUGCAGUUACUUGAAUUUAUGUUUUUAUACUUUCAGUUUUUCACACUCAAAUAUAGAAUUUCUCCCUUUUACCUUUUAAACUGUCUCUAAUCAUUCCUUUACCUUUAAUGAUAUGAUCUUCACACAACAACAACAGUUUUUUUUCUCUUUUUUUUAUUUGGUUCCAAGUAAUUUAAUUUAUAUUUACAAAACAGCUGCAGUUUGUCGGUUCGGGGGACGAGGGCACGUCUCUGUGAAUCUGUGUGAGGCAGCAUUCAGUAGAAUAUCUGACAAAACUAUGAAGUAGUAUGAGCAGUGUGACAACAGAGUCCUUCACCCAGUACCUCUGUAGCGUCUCAGUAAUAAACACAUUGUAGAGGUACUUCAUUUCAGAGCUUUGUUAACAUGGACUCAAAUCAUGAGCAAUAAUUGUCCUACAUACAUGCAAUCUGAAGAUGUACAACAGAACAUGAUUACCUCACCUAUGCGUUCCUCCAAACCAAUAUCACACUGCAUAAAAAGAGCUACUAGAGCCAAACAGAUGCGCUCAUAACAAGAAGUGUGAAACCAAGACAAACUCAAGUCUUUCAUUAUGUUGAAGACUUGGUACACAGUAUGGUGGGAUGUAAACGUUGAUGGACAGAGCUCAAAGCUAGUGUGUGUCUGGUUGGCAUAAACCUGAAUGUACCAAUAACAUAACACAAAAAAAAGUUCAGACAGGAAAAGAAAACACUUCUGUUAAUAAAAGCCAUGUGGGUAAAUGUGAACCUGUUGGAGGCAGAAUGAGGC